CCCUUAGAUGUUCUGGGCUGCACGCGCGCUACACUGAUGCGCUCAACGAGUUUAUGACCUUGCCCGGAAGGGUUGGGUAAUCUUCUUAAAACGCAUCGUGAUGGGGAUAGAUUAUUGCAAUUAUUAAUCUUCAACGAGGAAUUCCUAGUAAGCGCGAGUCAUCAGCUCGUGCUGAUUACGUCCCCGCCCUUUGUACACACCGCCCGUCGCUCCUACCGAUUGAUUGAUCCGGUGAAUUACAUAGAAUUUUGCGUUUUACAUGACGGAAGACGAAGUGUUUUAAACCUUAUCAUUUAGAGGAAGGAGAAGUCGUAACA
RNAcentral lists this ribosomal RNA (317 nucleotides) under uncultured eukaryote. RNAcentral describes it as "partial 18S ribosomal RNA". It matches the Rfam family "Eukaryotic small subunit ribosomal RNA", at positions 1470 to 1796 of the family's 1831-position model. The record is from RNAcentral.